GGACCAUAUCUCCUGGGCUAUGUUUUGCUCAAAGAGGCCUCUAUACUCCUCCUUCCCAGUCCAGGCUGCAGAGACCAUGGAGCCCAGGGUACAGGAGGGAGAGGAGCCCAAAUGUCAGAAUGCACCCAUGUCUGAGGUCAUCCUUCCUUUGAAAUACCUGCCACGAUGACUGCAGCUCCUGCAGGUUUCCCUCCCCAGGUCCCGUGGGAAGAUGUCCGUUAUCUCUUUGAUGAGAUCAUGUAUGGAGGCCACAUCACAGAUGACGGGGAUUGCAAACUGUGUCGGGUGUAUUUAGAAGAAUUCAUGAAUCCAUCUCUGAAGCUAGCUGCCCUGUCAGGAACACAUGCAUGUGGUGAAAAACCGAGACUUCCAGCCAACAGCCAUGUGAGCGAGCCAUCUUGGAAGUGGAUCCUCCAGCCCCAGUCAAGCCUUCAGAUGACUGCAGCUUUGGCCAACAUCUUGACUGCAACUUCCUGAGAGACCCUGAGCAAGAAUCACACCAUGAAGAUGUUCCUAGUUUUCUGAUUCUCAGAAACUGGCUGCCAUGUGAAGAAGGACAUGUUUGCUUCCACUUCUGCCACGAUUCAGUGUGAGAAUGGACUAAUACAGGGUCUGUGUUGGACAGGAAGGACAUGAAGAGAGGAAGGGCUGGUGGAGAGAAUGCAGAGUAGUCAUAAGACACGAGCCUCCUCUGAUGGUCGACUUUGCCUUGAGAACUCAGAUGACCUUGCCAGAAUCUUCUUAGAUAGCUUGGAACUCUAGAACAUUUCUACUCACCCUUCUUCCUUCUCCCAUUCACUCAAGGCCAGACCUGCAAUGUGAUCUGACAACUCCCAGCCUUACAAGGUUCUCUUCCAAUUUUCUCUCACAGGGAUUUUCCCUAAUAAAAUCAUCACACAUUUAAUC
This 906-nucleotide long non-coding RNA is filed under the name Homo sapiens (human). RNAcentral describes it as "HSALNT0370271". The record is from RNAcentral. Lineage: Eukaryota; Metazoa; Chordata; Mammalia; Primates; Hominidae.